RNAcentral lists this unclassified non-coding RNA (891 nucleotides) under uncultured fungus. RNAcentral describes it as "sequence contains 18S rRNA gene, ITS1, 5.8S rRNA gene, ITS2, 28S rRNA gene". Lineage: Eukaryota; Fungi. The record is from RNAcentral.
GGAUGGUGGCGCGCACACUGCCAGGCAAGCAGUACGAGGUGGGACGACGGUUGCGCGUGCUGGUGGUCCGGGAGCUCCGCCGGGCCGGCAUCGUGUCGCCUGCUGACGGGCAGUCCCCGAUGGUCGCCGCGAUUCCACAUCCAGCGGAGGCGGCCAACGGCGAGGACGAGACUCAGGGCGCGCCGGAGCAGAAGCAGUGACUUCGUGGUUCAAGGCCAGACUCGGCCGCAUCCGGGUCUCGACGGCCGUGCUCAUCGUCGUGUUCAUCGCGUUGUUCUGGGUGCAGCAGACCUUCACGCCGGAGCCGGCCCCCGAGGCGCCUGCCCCGGCGGUCGUCCCGCCCGGUUUCGUGCCCGACCCGAACUACACCUGGGUCCCGCGAACGUACGUCCGGCGGCCGAGGGAGCCGGAGACCACCACCCCGACCACCACCACGACGAGCCCGACCGAGACGACGACGCCGCCGGAGGACACCACCAGCCCGACGUCGCCCACCGAGCCCACCCCGACGACGAUGGUGAUCGAUCCGGAUGGUCCGGGUGGACCGCUGGGGGAACAGACCUUGACCCAGACACCGGCCGAUACGACGCCCACUACGACCGCCACCGCCCCGGCCGCGCCGGGAACGGUGCCCGCCACGCCCGAUGCGCCGAGAUAGCCCGACCGGCGUCAGGCCGGUUGCACCGCUAGACUGGCGUCCCGUGAUGAUCGCGCUCGACCACGUCAGCAAGCAGUACAAGUCCUCGGCCCGACCCGCGCUGGACAAUGUCUCGGUCAACAUCGACAAGGGUGAGUUCGUCUUCCUCAUCGGCCCCUCCGGCUCGGGCAAGUCGACCUUCAUGCGGCUGUUGCUGGCCGAGGAGUCACCGACCAGCGGCGACGUGCGUGUGU